Molecule: ribosomal RNA, 355 nt
Filed under: uncultured bacterium
Lineage: Bacteria
Description: bacterial SSU rRNA
Rfam family: Bacterial small subunit ribosomal RNA
Source: RNAcentral
UACCCUCGAGUGGGGAAUAACUUCGGGAAACCGAGGCUAAUACCGCAUAAUACCCACGGGUCAAAGGAGCAAAUUCGCUUGAGGAGGAGGUCGCGGCCCGAUUAGUUAGUUGGCGGGGUAAUGGCCCCCACCAAGACGGUGAUCGGUAUCCGGCCUGAGAGGGCGCACGGACACACUGGAACUUGAAACACGGUCCAGACUCCUACGGGAGGCAGCAGUGGGGAAUUUUGCGCAAUGGGGGAAACCCUGACGCAGCAACGCCGCGUGGAGGGAAUGAAGUCUCUUGGGACGUAAACUCUUUUCGAUCGGGACGAUUAUGACGGUACCGGAAGAAGAAGCCCCGGCUAACUUCGUG